This is a long non-coding RNA of Rosa rugosa (rugosa rose), 1581 nucleotides long. RefSeq lists it as uncharacterized. The transcript has 3 exons. The record is from RefSeq and is a predicted model, not a curated record. NCBI's taxonomy places the organism in Eukaryota, Viridiplantae, Streptophyta, Magnoliopsida, Rosales, Rosaceae.
CCCAAAAUAAACCCAUCUCUCUCUCUCCAUCUCUAGACCUGCGACGACACCAACGUCAGCCAAAACGGUGACGUUUCCAACCGCGCCGACCUUCUCGCUCUCCGCUCCGCACCAGACCCCUGUAGCUUACUGGUUUUGCCCCAAGACGACGAAGAUGCCCCUUUUCUCUCUACCUUCUUCUUCACACCCAAAUUAAUCACCAUAACCACCACUGAGCUCUCUCUCCAUACCCAACCACCAAUCCCAUUGCAAUCAACACCAAGCCUAAAUGCCUUCAUAUCUUCAUGAAAUUACCCUUUACAUUCUCAGAAAACCCACUUCAUCACUUUAGAUUUACUAGGCCUGAUCUGGAAAUACAUAGUGGAGAAUGAACAACUCUUUCAUUCUUACGAAACUCUGCUCGUCAGCUAACUUCGGCGUCUAAAAACUCCAUCUUCUGUUGCUCAGAUAGUCACGACUUCUUCAUAAAAGUUGUUCAAAAUCGAGUCUUCUAAACUGUCUUCAAAUUUCAUGAAAAUCCAACGGUUGAAUCUUCCAAAAUCAAGUCCCCCUUCGAAAUGGGUCGAGUUCUUCUCUUGAGAUUGAAUUCAAUUCAUGAAGUACUCAUUUCAAUCUUGAGCAAGUUGAAGCCAUCAAGGAGAGAGAGAGGCAAAAGGAGAACAUAUGCAAUCUGGGUACCCCACCCAGCCCAACACCAACGCCGCCCAAGCCGCCCAGCACCCGCCGAAACCCACCUAUCUGCUCUGGGUAUUUGAGUUUUUGGUAAGAUUUUGAUGGGUGAAGUGUUUUGAUUCAAAAUCUCAUUUGGGUAUUUGAGUUUUUGUGAGGUUUUCUAUCAAGAUCGAAUUUUUGGGUUUAUGUUAGUUUUGGGGCACACAUUUUGAUUGGAAUUGGGUCUGGUGUGGUUUGGAAUGAAGAAAGUGAUGGAACUGUAUUUGAUUGAGCUCACUAAGGUGUGAAUGAAUCGAAAAAAAUUGAAUUGAAUUAGGUGAGUUAACGAAAUCCCGAAUCUAGUGAUGAUUCUGGUCAUGGGUAUGCAUAUCCUCAGUCCAGCGAGAAGAUGCUGGAGGAUGAGAGCUUCCGGAUAAUAGAGGGUCUUUAACCAGACGGAGAUCAGGAGAGAUGUGGAAGAAGAAGAGGUAAAAAGAAAAAAAAAAAGAAUAAAAUUAAUUAAAAAAAAAAAAAAAGUAAGUGAGGGUAUAAUAGACUUUUUAGGGGGGAAACGACCGCCACGUCAGCAAGAUAACGGAGACUUUGAUGGAUGCUUGACGGCAGGGACCAAUUGGGAGGAAAUUAGGAGUUUAGGGACUUUUUAGGUGAAAUUCGAAGGUCAGGGACUGAAAUGAUGAAACCCUAUAAGUAUAGGGAGUAAAUAGUAUUUAACUCUAUUUAUAAUUGUCUUAUUGUUUAAGUAAAUCUCUAUUUUGUGUUUAGCCCAAAGUCUAGGUUACUUGACCUAGUGGUAAUAGGGUUACAUUAGAAGGAUCUAGAUUCCUAUUCAAUGUACGAUUACUUUCCUUGUAUGAUUUAGAUUCCAUGCAUUGUAAUCCUCUAUAUAAAGAGGCCCCUAUUAUCAAUGAG